UCAGAUCAACAGUGAAAUGUCUAUGUGUUUUGCUCCCUGUGAUGGGUGUUACAUGGGUUCUUGGCCUGUUUUACAUAAAUGACGACACGAGCUGGAUUCAGUAUUUGUUUGCGGUAUGCAACAGUUUGCAGGGCCUGGUGAUAUUCGUCUUCCAUUGUGCACUCAAUAAGCAGAUCCACAAAGCGUUUUUGUUGACUAAGAGGAAGUAUUCAGUGGAGACAUCUGAAUCGAGGCUCGCAAAUCAAAUGAAAUAGAUCAAGAUGAAAGAUACAUUGUGAACAGCUCCUUACGACACAGAGAAAAAAAUAAUAAUAAACUAAUUAUACCUUGUCACAUUAAAAGCAGUAAAACUUUAUACCGGGAAAACACAGCCAUAUUAACCCUUAGCCUGCUGGCGGCAAGUGAUUCUGCCUUUGCGACCAGUGCAGACCAAGAUUAGCCUGCACAUCCGUGCAGUCUGAUCAUGGUCUGCACUGUUCGCUAUUCAGUCAGUAAAUUUUUAGUAAACACCCCUUCAAAUGAUAAAUGGUACUGCCCAAAUUGGAAGAUGGACCAGUCCAUAAUAGAAAUUUAGCAUGGUAAGGGUUAAGUAUCGUGCGGAACUGAAUGUUCGGCGAAGGAUACUACACUAUUCAGUCAGACGACCCAAUGAGUUUUAACAACUUAUCUGAAACUACAGCCACACAUUCAAAAGUAGUCACUGUUGAAGAGAUCUCAUGAAUAUUCCAUUGAAAUUAAAUUCCAUUCAAAAUUUCUUACACAAAUAAAAGCGUGUUUCAGAAUGAGA
Molecule: long non-coding RNA, 787 nt
Organism: Mercenaria mercenaria
Lineage: Eukaryota; Metazoa; Mollusca; Bivalvia; Venerida; Veneridae
Exons: 4
Source: RefSeq, a predicted model, not a curated record